This 72-nucleotide transfer RNA is filed under the name Camelus bactrianus (Bactrian camel). It matches the Rfam family "tRNA". From Rfam's summary of the family: Transfer RNA (tRNA) molecules are approximately 80 nucleotides in length. Their secondary structure includes four short double-helical elements and three loops (D, anti-codon, and T loops). Lineage: Eukaryota; Metazoa; Chordata; Mammalia; Artiodactyla; Camelidae. RNAcentral also lists the same sequence under 2 other names. The record is from Rfam by way of RNAcentral.
GUGGGUGUAGCUCAGUGGUAGAGCCUAUGCUCAGCAUGCCCAGCAUCCUGGGUUCAAGCCCCAGCACCUCCA